AGACCCGAAACCCGGUGAUCUAGCCAUGGGCAGGUUGAAGGUUGGGUAACACUAACUGGAGGACCGAACCGACUAAUGUUGAAAAAUUAGCGGAUGACCUGUGGCUGGGGGUGAAAGGCCAAUCAAACCGGGAGAUAGCUGGUUCUCCCCGAAAGCUAUUUAGGUAGCGCCUCGUGAAUUCAUCUCCGGGGGUAGAGCACUGUUUCGGCUAGGGGGCCAUCCCGGCUUACCAACCCGAUGCAAACUGCGAAUACCGGAGAAUGUUAUCACGGGAGACACACGGCGGGUGCUAACGUCCGUCGUGAAGAGGGAAACAACCCAGACCGCCAGCUAAGGUCCCAAAGUCAUGGUUAAGUGGGAAACGAUGUGGGAAGGCCCAGACAGCCAGGAUGUUGGCUUAGAAGCAGCCAUCAUUUAAAGAAAGCGUAAUAGCUCACUGGUCGAGUCGGCCUGCGCGGAAGAUGUAACGGGGCUAAACCAUGCACCGAAGCUGCGGCAGCGACACUGUGUGUUGUUGGGUAGGGGAGCGUUCUGUAAGCCUGUGAAGGUGGCCUGUGAGGGUUGCUGGAGGUAUCAGAAGUGCG
RNAcentral lists this ribosomal RNA (584 nucleotides) under Salmonella enterica. RNAcentral describes it as "partial 23S ribosomal RNA". It matches the Rfam family "Bacterial large subunit ribosomal RNA", at positions 711 to 1292 of the family's 2925-position model. Lineage: Bacteria; Pseudomonadati; Pseudomonadota; Gammaproteobacteria; Enterobacterales; Enterobacteriaceae. The record is from RNAcentral. RNAcentral also lists the same sequence under 1 other name.